RNAcentral lists this ribosomal RNA (1008 nucleotides) under Cordyceps sp. BCC12839. RNAcentral's name for it is "SSU rRNA". It matches the Rfam family "Eukaryotic small subunit ribosomal RNA", at positions 87 to 1106 of the family's 1831-position model. RNAcentral also lists the same sequence under 1 other name. The record is from RNAcentral. Lineage: Eukaryota; Fungi; Ascomycota; Sordariomycetes; Hypocreales; Cordycipitaceae.
CUGCGAAUGGCUCAUUAUAUAAGUUAUCGUUUAUUUGAUAGUACCUUACUACUUGGAUAACCGUGGUAAUUCUAGAGCUAAUACAUGCUAAAAAUCCCGACUUCGGAAGGGAUGUAUUUAUUAGAUUAAAAACCAAUGCCCUCUGGGCUCCUUGGUGAUUCAUGAUAACUCUUCGAAUCGCACGGCCUUGCGCCGGCGAUGGUUCAUUCAAAUUUCUUCCCUAUCAACUUUCGAUGUUUGGGUAUUGGCCAAACAUGGUUGCAACGGGUAACGGAGGGUUAGGGCUCGACCCCGGAGAAGGAGCCUGAGAAACGGCUACUACAUCCAAGGAAGGCAGCAGGCGCGCAAAUUACCCAAUCCCGAUUCGGGGAGGUAGUGACAAUAAAUACUGAUACAGGGCUCUUUUGGGUCUUGUAAUUGGAAUGAGUACAAUUUAAAUCUCUUAACGAGGAACAAUUGGAGGGCAAGUCUGGUGCCAGCAGCCGCGGUAAUUCCAGCUCCAAUAGCGUAUAUUAAAGUUGUUGUGGUUAAAAAGCUCGUAGUUGAACCUUGGGCCUGGCUGGCCGGUCCGCCUCACCGCGUGCACUGGUCCGGCCGGGCCUUUCCCUCUGUGGAACCCCAUGCCCUUCACUGGGCGUGGCGGGGAAACAGGACGUUUACUUUGAAAAAAUUAGAGUGCUCCAGGCAGGCCUAUGCUCGAAUACAUUAGCAUGGAAUAAUGAAAUAGGACGCGUGGUUCUAUUUUGUUGGUUUCUAGGACCGCCGUAAUGAUUAAUAGGGACAGUCGGGGGCAUCAGUAUUCAAUUGUCAGAGGUGAAAUUCUUGGAUUUAUUGAAGACUAACUACUGCGAAAGCAUUUGCCAAGGAUGUUUUCAUUAAUCAGGAACGAAAGUUAGGGGAUCGAAGACGAUCAGAUACCGUCGUAGUCUUAACCAUAAACUAUGCCGACUAGGGAUCGGACGAUGUUAUUUUUUGACGCGUUCGGCACCUUACGAGAAAUCAAAGUGC